This 658-nucleotide ribosomal RNA is filed under the name Listeria monocytogenes. RNAcentral's name for it is "partial 23S ribosomal RNA". It matches the Rfam family "Bacterial large subunit ribosomal RNA", at positions 1397 to 2051 of the family's 2925-position model. Lineage: Bacteria; Bacillati; Bacillota; Bacilli; Caryophanales; Listeriaceae. The record is from RNAcentral.
CGAGGCCGAUAGGCGUAGGCGAUGGACAACAGGUAGAGAUUCCUGUACCAGUGCUAAUUGUUUAACCGAUGGGGUGACACAGAAGGAUAGGGAAUCGCACGAAUGGAAAUGUGCGUCCAAGCAGUGAGUGUGAGAAGUAGGCAAAUCCGCUUCUCGCGAAGCAUGAGCUGUGAUGGGGAAGGAAAUUAAGUACGGAAGUUCCUGAUUUCACGCUGUCAAGAAAAGCCUCUAGGAAGAGUAGUACUGCCCGUACCGCAAACCGACACAGGUAGAUGAGGAGAGAAUCCUAAGGUGAGCGAGAGAACUCUCGUUAAGGAACUCGGCAAAAUGACCCCGUAACUUCGGGAGAAGGGGUGCUCUAUUAGGGUGCAAGCCCGAGAGAGCCGCAGUGAAUAGGCCCAGGCGACUGUUUAGCAAAAACACAGGUCUCUGCAAAACCGUAAGGUGACGUAUAGGGGCUGACGCCUGCCCGGUGCUGGAAGGUUAAGAGGAGUGCUUAGCUUCGGCGAAGGUACGAAUUGAAGCCCCAGUAAACGGCGGCCGUAACUAUAACGGUCCUAAGGUAGCGAAAUUCCUUGUCGGGUAAGUUCCGACCCGCACGAAAGGCGCAACGAUCUGGGCACUGUCUCAACGAGAGACUCGGUGAAAUUAUAGUACC